This is a long non-coding RNA of Phascolarctos cinereus (koala), 1771 nucleotides long. RefSeq lists it as uncharacterized. The record is from RefSeq and is a predicted model, not a curated record. Lineage: Eukaryota; Metazoa; Chordata; Mammalia; Diprotodontia; Phascolarctidae.
GGCUCCUUUCCCCUUUCCCUCUGUCUUUUCUAGAGGCUGACUGGACCUCUUUGCUAACAGCACAGAAUUUCACUGCCUGAGUCCAAGGGAUGUAGAGCUCCCUUUCAGAGGACAAAAGUCUUUCAUAUUCUUCACCAUUCACUGAUCUUGCUAUAUAGUCCACAGCUGUGUAUUCUUUCUCCUUUUGAAGCUCAGGAAGACAUUUUCCUUUACCUAGCCCUGGCCUACCUUUCCCUUCCCAAGAUCACUGGCAGUGCCUCAGCUGGAACAUUUGCCAGUUCUUCCAACACUCAAGGAUGGGCUCAGGAGAAAAGGAAAGCCAAACAAGAACUGGGCAGUGUGGCCAGAGCCACAGGAGCCUCGGAGACAGAGGGAUUGAGAGGGUCCCAGAGAGGGAAGGUGACGUGAUGGCAGGAGCAAAGCCAGGGUUGGAGCCCAGCACCCUCGCUCUCCUUUCCCGUCAGAGUAAGAUCUUCCAGAGGCAGCCGAGUCUCUCCGAAUGACCUGCUGUAUGGCGUCUCAUUACGGCGCGGCGAGUGACCUAUGGGACAUAGCCCUCGAGCUGGUGUGAAGCAUUAAGUCUUGCUGGGGACAUACACCACAAUGAGUCAGCCUCCCAAGGCGACGCAGCCACAAAAGCUUGGGCAGUUAGGGCAGCGGAGACAGGGAGCCGGCUGCAGGUGCAGCACCGCGUAGACAGUAUUUCCUCCCAGCCUCCCAUCGCUGCUGCAGCAGCAGCCCCACGAGGGAGCCAGCAGGGCAAGUCCGUGAUACCGAGUAGGGGAUCAGGAAGGAGACAGAACGCUCUGGGAAGCGGAUGUGGCGUUGAGAGAGUCAUGGUGCCCAUAUCUUGCAAGGGACCCACCAACCCAUGUGAGGCCAGUGGGAAGCAGCAUGAUGGGAUCACCAGAGGCCAUCACUGCACCCGUGGUUUCCGAGGCCACCAAGGGACGAUGGAAAUGGCACUGGAUCUGAAGUCUGAGGACCUGGGUUCCAGCCUGGACAUUGCUACUUAGAUGCUUACUGCCUUGUGACCUUGGGCAUGUCAUUUUCUCUCACAUCCUCAGCUUCCUCAUCCACAAAAUGAGGAGAGUAGAUUCACUUUCCUCCCAGAUCUCUCCUGGCUCCACAUCUCAGGUCUUUGGUCUCUGACCCCUGCUCUGGCCUCGAAGUUCCUUCACAUUUUUAGGUGUCACCUACACACCAUCCACCACAUGUAAAGCCCCUUGUCCCCUCUAGGGCUCUUCCUCCAUGGGCCCCCUGGCAGUCCUCAGAACAGAUGUGCCUGUGAGCACAAGGAAUGCCCCAUCUCAGUGGCUCAUGUCCCUGACAUUCCAUCAGUAAAGGAGCAUGACAGAGUCCUGAGCAUUCACUGGUCUGGCAAGCUAUUCACACACAUUGGGGACCUGGCCUUUUAUCCUCCUUGAGACCUGGGGGGAUGCCGGCUGUUCUCUGGUCAGUCCCUGAGAAGGUCUCAGAUUAACAAGAGCUAGCAUUCAUGGAGCCCAGUAAGGUCAGCAAAGCACCUGCCCCAUAGUGCAACAACUUGUGAGGCAGGAGCGAUUAGGACAGGUGUGUGUGGUUAGGGAGAGAAAGCAGAGGAGAUGGAGCUGAAUGGAGGCGAUGCUCUCAGAAGCGUGGCAACGCUGGGAAGGUGAAAGAGGACAAGAUUUGAGGAGGACAGGGAAGCUAUGGGAUGGAUCCUUUAGGUUAAAGGAUCGAAGGUCAAUGCAGAGGGAACAGAAGGAAAAGCUGAAUCACCUGGGGAGAU